Molecule: transfer RNA, 87 nt
Filed under: Puniceicoccaceae bacterium
Lineage: Bacteria; Pseudomonadati; Verrucomicrobiota; Opitutia; Puniceicoccales; Puniceicoccaceae
Also listed under: 2 other names
Description: tRNA-Tyr
Rfam family: tRNA
About the family: Transfer RNA (tRNA) molecules are approximately 80 nucleotides in length. Their secondary structure includes four short double-helical elements and three loops (D, anti-codon, and T loops). Further hydrogen bonds mediate the characteristic L-shaped molecular structure. tRNAs have two regions of fundamental functional importance: the anti-codon, which is responsible for specific mRNA codon recognition, and the 3' end, to which the tRNAs corresponding amino acid is attached (by aminoacyl-tRNA synthetases). tRNAs cope with the degeneracy of the genetic code in two manners: having more than one tRNA (with a specific anti-codon) for a particular amino acid; and 'wobble' base-pairing, i.e. permitting non-standard base-pairing at the 3rd anti-codon position.
Source: RNAcentral
GGUGGGAUAUGCAAGCGGCCAAAGCACGCAGACUGUAAAUCUGUUCCGGUAAUCGGUUCGAAGGUUCGAAUCCUUCUCCCACCACCA